RNAcentral lists this ribosomal RNA (110 nucleotides) under uncultured bacterium. Its description in RNAcentral is "partial 16S ribosomal RNA". It matches the Rfam family "Bacterial small subunit ribosomal RNA", at positions 1373 to 1482 of the family's 1533-position model. The record is from RNAcentral.
CCCGGGUCUUGUACACACCGCCCGUCACACCAUGGGAGCGGGUUCUGCCAGAAGUAGUUAGCCUAACCGCAAGGAGGGCGAUUACCACGGCAGGGUUCGUGACCGGGGUG